This 7668-nucleotide long non-coding RNA is filed under the name Sarcophilus harrisii (Tasmanian devil). Its description in RNAcentral is "lncRNA (ENSSHAG00000023447.1)". Lineage: Eukaryota; Metazoa; Chordata; Mammalia; Dasyuromorphia; Dasyuridae. The record is from RNAcentral.
UGGCUAGUUAAUAUUCAUUCCUUCACAUCAUAACACCCAAUUCCCAAGGUGAGGAUCAAAUGAGAUAAUAAUUGUAAACUGCUUAGUACAGUGCCUAUGCAUGCCAAUUGUUACAUAUUUAGCCAUUAUUAGUUGUAGUAGUAACAAAAAUUUCUGAAAAUUAUGUCCUUUUUCUCCAACAAAUAUAAUUUUUAAAUUGAAAAGUUUCCUUCAUUUUUGAAAAUAACAAAUUCUUCUUUCCUCUCUGCCAAGCCUCAACACUUCCUCUCCAAUAACUUAAAAUGUAUUUAUUUGUAUAUAUUUUCUGUUAAUUUAUCUGGGUUCCUGUUGUUCCUCAGUCACAUUCCUAUUCAUUCCUAACUGAAAAUGUAAGGUGGAAAGGUACUGCUUCCUUUUUUUUUUUUUUUUUAUGCUGAGUACUUAGCAAAAGACAUACUUAAUAGAAGCCCAUUCAACUAUAUAAUCAAAAACUCUAAUCUUUAUGGUUUUCAUUAGAAUAAGAAGUUGUAGUGACUUUUUUUCCCUGAGGCAACUGGAGUUAAGUGACUUACCCAGCGUGACUAAGAAGUGUUAUGUGUCUGAGACCAGAUUUGAAUUCAGUUCAUACUGACUUCAGGGCUGAUCCACUGCACCACCUAGCUGCCCCAUGGUGACUUUUAAGAAUGUCCCUUUGGUCCAUAAAAAAUCACACACACACACACACACACACACACACACACACAGUUGUCUUGCUGCACAAGAAAAAUCAGAUCAAAAAGGAAGAAAAAAACUGGGAAAGAAAAAAAAUGCAAGCAAACAACAACAGAGAGAGUGAGAAUGCUAUGCUAUGGUUCACACUCAGUUCCCACAGUCCUCUCUCUGGGUGUAGAUGGCUCUAUUCAUCACUGAACAAGUGGCACUGGUUUGAAUCAUCUCACUGUUGAAGAGAGUCACAUCCAUCAGAAUUGAUCAUCAUAUAAUUUUGUUGCUGUGUAUAAGGAUCUCCUGGUUCUGCUCAUUUCACUUAGAGUCAGUUAUAAGUCUCUCCGGACCUCUCUGAAGUCAUCCUGAUGGUCGUUAUUUAUAGAACAAUAAUAUUCCAUAAAAUUCACAAACCAUAAUUUAUUCAGCCAUUCUCCAACUGAGGGCCAUCCACUCAGUUUCCAGUUUCUUGCCACUACAAAAAAAAGGCUGCGACAAACAUUUUUGCAGGCAUGGGUCCCUUUCUCUCCUUUAAGAUUUCUUUGGGAUAUAUAUGCAGUAGAAACACUGCUGGAUCAAAGAGUAUGAACACUUUGAUAAUUUUCUGAGCAUAGUUCCAAAUUGCUUUCCAGAAUGGUUGGAUCUGUUCAUUGUUCCACCAACAAUGCAUCAGGAUCCCAGUUUUCCCACAUCCCCUCCUAUAUUCAUCAUUAUCAUUUCCUGUCAUCUUAGCCAAUCUGACAGGUGUGUAGUGGUAUCUCAGAAUUGUCUUAAUUUGCAUUUCUCUGAUCAAUAGUGAUUUGGAGCACCUCUUCAUAUGACUACAAAUAGUUUCAAUUUCAUCUGAAAAUUGUCUGUUCAUAUCCUUUGUCCAUUUAUCAAUUGGAGGACGGUUUGAACUAUUAUAAAUUUGAAUUAAUUCUCUAUAUGUUUUGGAAAUGAGGCCUUUAUCAGAUUCUUUGAAUGCAAAAAUAUUUUCCCAGUUUGGUGCUUCCCUUCUAAUCUUGUCUGCAUUAGUUUUGUUUGUACAAAAACUUUUUAAAUUUAGAUAAUCAAAGUUAUUUAUUUUGUAAUCAAUAAUGAUCUCUACUUCUUCUUUGUUUGCACAUUCCUUCCUCCUCCAUAGAUCUGAGAGAUAAACUAUAUCUUUGCUCUUCUAAUUUGUUUAUAAUAUAAUUAUUUAUGUCUAGAUCAUGAACCCAUUUCAACAUUAUUUUGGUAUAUGGUGUUAGGUGUGGGUCAGUGCCUAGUUUAUGGCAUAAUAGUUUCCAAUUUUCCCAGCAGUUUUUUAUCAAAUAGUGAAUUCUUUUCCCAAAAGCUAGGAUCUUUGUGCUUGUCAAACACUAGACUGCUAUAGACUGUUUUGUUUUGUAAACCUAAGCUAUUCCACUGAUCAACUGCUCUAUUUCUUAGCCAGAACUAAAUGGUUUUGAUGACUGCUGCUUUAUAAUAUAGUUUUAGAUCUGGUACAGCUAGAUCACCUUCAUUUGGUUUUCCUUUCAUUAAUUCCCUUGAAAAUCUUGACCAUUUGUUCUUCCAGAUGAAUUUUGUUGUUAUUUUUUCUAGGUCAGUAAAAUAGUUUCUUGGGAGUUUGAUUGGUAUAGCAUUAAAUAAAUGGAUUAGUUUGGGUAGUAUUGCCAUUUUUAUUAUAUUUGCUCACCCUAUCCAAGAAUGUUUGAUAUUUUUCCAGUUGCUUAGAUCUGACUUUCAUUGUAUGGAAAGUAUUUUGCAGUUUUGCUCAUAUAGCUCCUGACUUUCCCUUGGCAAAUAGAUUCCCAAAUAUUUCAUCCUAUUGCCAAUUAUUUUAAAGGGAAUUUCUCUUUGUUUCUUAUGCUGUUGGAUUUUGUUAGUGAUGGAUAAAAAUGCUGAUGAUUUAUGUGGAUUUAUUUUGUAAACUGCAGCUUUGCUAAAGUUGUGGACUACUUCCAAUGGUAUUUUAGUUGAUUCUCUGGGCUUCUUUAAGUAUACCAUCAUAUUAUGUGCAAAGAGUGAUAACUUGGUUUCCUCAGUACCUAUUCUAAUUUCUUUAAUCUUUUUUCUUCAAUUAUUGUCAAAACUAGCAUUUCUAUUACAAUAUUAAAUAGUAAUGGUGAUAAUGGGCAACCAUGUUUCAUUCCUGAUCUUAUUGGGAAUGGUUCCAGUUUAUUCCCAUUACAUAUGAUGCUUGCUUAUGGUUUUAAAUAGAUGCAAUUGACUGUUUUAAGGAAAAGUCCAUUUAUUCCUAUUCUCUCUAGUGUUGUAAUAGGAAUGGCUGGUGAAUUUUAUCAAAUUGGUUUUUUUUGUAUCUAUUGAGAUAAUCAUAUAGUUACUGUUAAUUUGGUUAUUGAUAUAGUCAAUUAUACUUGUAGUUUUCCCAAUAUUGAACCAACUCUGCAUUCCUGGUAUAAAUCCUACUUGGUCAUAGUGUAUUAUCCUGGGGAUGAUUUUCUGAAUUUUCUUUGCUAAUAUUUUAUUUAAGAUUUUUGCAUCAAUAUUCAUUAGAGAGAUUGGUCUAUACUAUACAAAAUUGGUUUUUAUCCUAUCUGGUUUAGGCAUCAGUACCAUGUCUGUGUGAUAAAAGGAAUUUGUUAGUAGUCCUUCAUUCUCUAUUUUUUCAAAUAGUUUGAAUAGUAUUGGAGUUAAUUGUUCUUUAAAUGUUUGAUAGAAUUUACAUGUAAAUCCAUCUGGUCCUAGGGAUUUUAUGUUCUGGAGUUGAUUAAUAGCUUGCUCUAUUUCUUUUUCUUUUUAAGUAUUUUAUUUAUUUAUUUAAGUAAAUUAUUUCUGCUUCUGUUAAUCAGGGCAAUCUAUAUUUUUGUAGCCAUUCCUCCAUUUCACUUAGGUUAUCAAAUUUAUUGGCAUAAAGUUGGGCAAAAUAACUCCUAAUUAUUGUUCUAAUUUCCUCUUCAUUGUUGGAAAGAUCUCCCUUUUCAUUUUUGAGACUAACAAUUUGAUUUCUCUCUUUCUUUUUUCUAAUUAAAUUAACUAAAGGUUUAUCUAUUGUAUUGAUUUUUUUCCAUAAAACUCUUACUUUUAUUUAUUAAUUCAAUCAUUUUUUAACUUUCAAUUUUAUUGAUCUCCUUUUAUUUUUAGAAUGUCAAUUUUGAUAUUUGGAUUUGGGAGUUUUAAUUUGUUCUCUUUCUAGCUUUUCUAGAUGCAAACCCAAUUCAUUGAUCUUCUCUCUCUAUUUUAUGCAAAUAAGCAUUUAGAGAUAGAAAAUUUCCCCUUAUUACUGCUUUGGCUGCAUCCCACAAAUUUUGGUAUGUUAUCUCAUUAUUGUCAUUCUCUUGGAUGAAAUUAUUGAAUGUAUCUAUGGUUUACAUUUUCACCCAUUCUUUCUUUAGGAUGAGAUUAUUUAGUUUCCAAUUAUGUGUGGUCUAUUUUUCCCUGACCUUUUAUGGAAUGUAAUUUUUAUUGCAUCGUGAUCUGAAAAAAAAAUUAUAUUUACUAUUCCUGCCUUUCUGCAUUUGAUUUUGAGAUCUUUAUAUCCUAUAUGGUUAAUUUUUGUAUAGGUUCAAUGAACUGUUGAGAAGAAAGUGCACUCCUUUCUGUCUCCAUUCAAUUUUCUCCAAAGAUUUAUCACACUUAAUGUUUCUUGUAUUCUAUUUACCUCUUUAACUUCUUUCUUAUUUAUUUUGUGGUUUGAUUUAUCUAGUUCUGAGAGAGCAAAGUUGGGAUCUCCCACCAUUAUAGUCUAUUUCUUUUUGCAACUCUAAACUUCUCCUUUAGGAAUUUAGAUGCUAUACCACUUGGUGCAUAUAUGUUUAAUAUUGAUAUUGCUUCAUUAUCUAUGAUACCCUUCUCAAGAUAUAGUUUCCUUCCUUAUUUCUUUUAAUUAGAUCAAUUUUUGCUUUUGUUUGAUCUGAGAUCAGGAUGACUAUGCCUGCUUUUUUUUUUUUUUUUACUUCACCUGAAGCAUAAUAGAUUCUGCUCCUGCCUUUUAGCUUUACUCUAUAUGUAUUGCUCUGCUUUAAAUUUCUUUCUUGUAAACAACAUAUUGUAGCAUUCUGUUAUUUAAUCCAGUCUGCUAUCCACUUACGCUCUUUGGGAGAGUUCCCUCCAUUCACAUUUACAGUUAAAAUUACUAAUUCUGUAUUUCCUGCCAUCUCAUUAACCCCAAAUCAUAUUUUUCCUCUUUCCUUUUCUCCUUUCCCUUCUCCCCAGUAUUUUACUUAUGAGCACUACUUGCCUCAAGUAAUCCUCCCCUUUUAGAGAUACCCUCCCCCUUUCUUAUACCUUUCCCUUACCAUUUCUAUUUUUCCUUCUAUUUAACCUACUCCUUCUCCUUUCCCCUCCCAAUUUUCUAUAUGGUGAGAGAAGUUUCUCGGUGAAAGCAAAUAUGUCUAAUAUUCUUUCUUUGAACCAAAACUGAUGAUAGUAAGAUUUACACAAUAUUCAUCACCCUCCCUUCUUUUCCUCAAUUAUAAUAGAUUUUAUUUGCCUCUUCCUGAGAUAAUUUCCCUCAUUUUACCUCCAUUUCCCCCUUUUUCUUGCACAAUCUCUUUUCCACCUCUACUUUCUUUUUUAUAUUAUAACAGUAAAAUCAGAUUAUACAUGUACUCUCUGUGUAUACCCAUAAUAGGUAUACAGUUCUCAAGACUUUUUUUCUUUUUACUUUUUAUGCUUCUUUUGAGUUUUAUUUUUGGAGGUCAAAUUUUUUGUUUAGCUCUGGUCUUUUCAUCAGAAAUAAAUGGAUUUCACCUGUUUCACUGAAGGUGCAUCUUCUUCCCUGAAAGGAAAUGUUCAGUUUAGCAGGGUAAUUUGUUUUUUGUAGAGGGCUGAAACUCCUGAGUCGAUGCACUGAGGUCAGUUUGAGCACUUAAGGAUAAUUACCUAUUGGACAAUACUGUAUGGGCAUGUGCUUGGGGAAUGGCCCUUCCCAUUAUCCUGUGCUGGCUCUAUAAUUGGUGUAUGCAGAGAAUUGUAGGGAGGGGGGGAAAGGGGUGGCUCAUCUUACUAGAUGGUUCUUGAAGGUUCUUAAAGGUUGGUUGGUUCUUAAAGGUUCUUAAAGGAAAAGGAGAUAGAGCUAGAUAAUUGGAAGCUAGUAGGACAAGAGCUAUGUGAAUACUACAAUGAUAAAGGUCCUCAUUCAAUUUCCAGGGGAACAUUCUAUACAUACAACAUUAAUAUGGUUGGCCUUAAAGAAUCCUGCAAGUUAUAGAAAAAAGAAAAAAUUCUAAGAACAGUCAGAUGAGGAAGUCUGAGGAAAAUGAGGAGCACAAAGGAGGGAUUAAAAGCGAUAUGUCCAGAGGGUAUGGGGAGUUAAAAGAGGAUGAAGGGCAUGGUGAAGGGCAUGGUGAAGGGUGUGAUGAUUCUCACUCUCAUAAAGCAGGUUCAACCCCGCCUAAACCAGAACUGGUUCUUAACAUGCCCACAUAAACUUCACCUUCCAGGAUGGAGGGAAGAGGAGUAGUGGGAGGCGCAGUGACACCAUCAGCACCUCCCCACCCAGAAAUCACCCCCUCCUAUUGCAAAAAUUGCAAAAGGCAGUACUUAAAGCCACAGAAGAAGAAGCCACUUAAAUUACUUAGGUGAUUUGAAACUGGAAAUAUAUCCUGUGAUUCAACAGUUUAACUCUUCUGGUCAAGAAAGUAGAAGAUACACUCCUUUUGAUAUAGAAAUUCUCAAAGACCUGAAAAAGGCUUGCACUCUUUAUAGGGCUACAUCAGCUUAUGUUAAGAUGUUAUUACAGAAUUUGGCUUAUGAAGUCUUAACCCCUAGGGACUGGAAAUCUAUAAUAAGGACAUGCUUAGAACCUGGACAAAACUUGUUGUGGCUUUCUGAAUAUAGUGAGCUCUAUAGGAUACAAGCCCAACAAAACAGUCAUAGUGGAGUUAAUCCUCCAAUCACUUGUGACCAACUAACAAGUGUAGGUUCUUAUGCAGAAAUUUCAGUGCAGAUCAAUUACCACUUACAGCAGCAUAUGAGCAAAUUGCUGCUGCUGCCAUCAAAGCAUGGGCUUCUCUCCCCAAUAAAAAUGACAAGGGUGAAGCCUUCCCAAAAAUAACACAAGGGCCAAAUGAACCCUUUGCUGAUUUUGUGGGAUAUUUGUAGACAGCUAUCAUAUGAACUAAUGGUGAAAAUGCCGUUAACAGAUAAGGCAACUUGCUAAAAGAAAAUGCUAAUGAGAUUUGUAGAAGAAUUAUACUAGGACUACGCAAGGAUGCUCCUUUAGAGGAGAUCAUAAGAUGCUGUGCCACAGUAAGUACAAAUACUUUUUAUAGCCAGUCUAUGAUGCAGACUCCCCAAGAUCUGAACAUGGGAAGACAGGGUCCCUUUUGGCAAGGGACUUCCAGAGAGACUUGUCGAUGCUUUCAAUAUGGUAAAGUAGGGCAUCUGAAAGCUCAAUGUUGGCAUAGAGACAGAGUGAGAAAACAGGGUGGGAGAACAAGACCCAAUACCUCAUGUCCAAAAUGCAACAAAGUCUUCCAUUGGGCAUCAGAAUAUAGACUGAUAAAAGGAAACAGGAUGAGGGGCUCAGCCCCAGGGCCCAAGACAAAAAAAUACUUGGGGCACAAUGGCAGCCAAUGCUACACCCAGAGAGUGCCUAGAAGUCCAGUACCCAGACAUGACCAAUCAGCCAGAAAGCCAUCUGAUGGGAGAAAGGGAUUACACAAUCAACCAGCCAGGAAGCAACCUGAUGGGAGAAAGGGAUUACAAUAGAGUUAGUUGUAUAUAGCUGGGACAACUGAGAUACUCCCUAGAGAGGUGAAAUCUGUUCCUCUCCAGUCUAUGGAUCCCUUGCCUCUAGGGACAGUAUUUCACCUCCUGUGAGUACUUACAAAAGUGUCCAUCUAUACACUGAUGUGGAAAACUGGGGAAUGUGUAGAUAAUAUCCAAGUCACUAAUACAGGUAGACAAUGUGUGACUUAUCACCCAGGAGAAGUAGUAGCAACAGGUUUACUGAUACAGACUCCUAAUAAGCAAUCUGGUGAUAGUCACCCAGAUUCUGAUGCCAAGCAACAAAAUCCAGGAAUAUAUUGGACAGCAGCUGUGACAGCUGACCGACCU